CCUACGGGAGGCAGCAGUGAGGAAUAUUGGUCAAUGGGCGCGAGCCUGAACCAGCCAAGUCGCGUGAGGGAUGACGGCCCUACGGGUUGUAAACCUCUUUUGCCGGGGAGCAACGGGCGCCACGUGUGGCGCCACUGAGAGUACCCGGAGAAAAAGCAACGGCUAACUCCGUGCCAGCAGCCGCGGUAAUACGGAGGAUGCGAGCGUUAUCCGGUGUUAUUGGGGUUAAAGGGUGCGGAGGCGGAACGUUAAGGCAGUGGUGAAAUUGAGGGGCUCAACCCCUUGCCGCCAUUGAAACUGGCGAUCUUGAGUGGAAGAGAAGGAAGCGGAAUGCGUGGGGUAGCGGUGAAAUGCAUAGAUAUCAGGCAGAACCCCGAUUGCGAAGGCAGCAUGCCGGCUUCCGACUGACGCUGAAGCACGAAAGCGUGGGGAUCGAACAGGAUUAGAUACCCGGGUAGUC
RNAcentral lists this ribosomal RNA (460 nucleotides) under uncultured bacterium. RNAcentral's name for it is "partial 16S ribosomal RNA". It matches the Rfam family "Bacterial small subunit ribosomal RNA", at positions 338 to 795 of the family's 1533-position model. The record is from RNAcentral.